Molecule: long non-coding RNA, 290 nt
Organism: Fukomys damarensis (Damara mole-rat)
Lineage: Eukaryota; Metazoa; Chordata; Mammalia; Rodentia; Bathyergidae
Exons: 3
Source: RefSeq, a predicted model, not a curated record
CAGUUCUAUAAAAGAAGCUCUCUGUUCUGCCAUAUUGCUCUCUGUCUCCUUUGAUCGGAGACAGCCAGGUGGAUUGUCCCUACAACAAAGAUGAUACAUUAAAGCCCAUUGCGAUGGUUACUCUUGACUGUCAAAUUGCUUGGCUUGAGAGAUGCCUUAGAGAAUAGUAAAGCACACUUCUGUUCUAGAGGCUGGGAAGUCUAAGACAGAGGGUCCAGCAUCUGGCAAGAAGAGACUUCUUGCUGCCUCACAGCAUGAUAGAAAAGCAAGAGAGAGAAUCCACUCCCGAA